Molecule: unclassified non-coding RNA, 340 nt
Filed under: soil metagenome
Description: partial contains 5.8S ribosomal RNA, internal transcribed spacer 2, and large subunit ribosomal RNA
Rfam family: 5.8S ribosomal RNA (bases 1-120)
Source: RNAcentral
GAUGAAGAACGCAGCGAAACGCGAUAGUUAAUGUGAAUUGCAGAAUUCAGUGAAUCAUCGGGUCUUUGAACGCACAUUGCGCCCAUUGGUAUUCCGUUGGGCAUGUCUGUUUGAGCGUCAUUACAACAGUUCAGCGUAAGCUGGUUAUGAGUUCUGUUUUUUUAAACAAAAAACAGGCUUUAAAAUGUAUGUUCUGCAGGUCGCUUUGCUAAACCCUAAACAUUAAAUACUGUUCUAGUGAAGCAUUUGCGACUCUGCCUGAAAAAAAACUUUUGUUAAAGUUUGACCUCAGAUCAGACAAGGAUACCCGCUGAACUUAAGCAUAUCAAUAAGCGGAGGA